RNAcentral lists this ribosomal RNA (253 nucleotides) under uncultured bacterium. RNAcentral describes it as "partial 16S ribosomal RNA". It matches the Rfam family "Bacterial small subunit ribosomal RNA", at positions 524 to 776 of the family's 1533-position model. The record is from RNAcentral.
UACGUAGGGUGCAAGCGUUAAUCGGAAUUACUGGGCGUAAAGCGUGCGCAGGCGGUUAUAUAAGACAGAUGUGAAAUCCCCGGGCUCAACCUGGGAACUGCAUUUGUGACUGUAUAGCUAGAGUACGGUAGAGGGGAGUGGAAUUCCGCGUGUAGCAGUGAAAUGCGUAGAUAUGCGGAGGAACACCGAUGGCGAAGGCAGCUCCCUGGACCUGUACUGACGCUCAUGCACGAAAGCGUGGGGAGCAAACAGG